Molecule: long non-coding RNA, 452 nt
Organism: Mustela erminea (ermine)
Lineage: Eukaryota; Metazoa; Chordata; Mammalia; Carnivora; Mustelidae
Exons: 3
Source: RefSeq, a predicted model, not a curated record
GCCAGGAACUGCUCUAGACAUUGGACAAGUGCACGUCAGCCUCCAAGGAAAAGGAAGCCCAGUGAUUUGUAAAAGUAAAGAGGUAAUUAUAUUGGGGACAGUAUAAUAUAAUCGAUCCAGAAGAAAGAAUUAUUUAUUAGAGAAAGGAAGAUGAAUUAACAGAAAAUCCUGGUCUUACCAAACUGAAUGGUGAUUAUUGGACGAAUGGAUCAUACAUGACAAAAUCUAACAUUUGCAUAUUUGGGAGUGAAAGCCGAACUCUGUCGUCUGGAGCUCUGGGUCCUUUGGAAAGUUCAGAGGAUGGAAGGUUUUCUUUCUUCUCUGGAGUCCAGAAGAGAAGCGGUGCUUUGGAAAGUUCACUGGAAUAGGAGAAAAUAAAUUUCCUGCUGAGCUUUGAAGUUUGAUGUCCUUAAAAAAAAAAAAAGCUUAAAUUUGUUGGUGAUACUUUUCCA